RNAcentral lists this ribosomal RNA (893 nucleotides) under Verruciconidia persicina. RNAcentral's name for it is "LSU rRNA". It matches the Rfam family "Eukaryotic large subunit ribosomal RNA", at positions 38 to 967 of the family's 3401-position model. The record is from RNAcentral. Lineage: Eukaryota; Fungi; Ascomycota; Sordariomycetes; Hypocreales; Bionectriaceae.
GCAUAUCAAUAAGCGGAGGAAAAGAAACCAACAGGGAUUGCCUCAGUAACGGCGAGUGAAGCGGCAACAGCUCAAAUUUGAAAUCUGGCCCUAGGCCCGAGUUGUAAUUUGCAGAGGAUGUUUCUGGCGAGGUGCCUUCCGAGUUCCCUGGAACGGGACGCCAUAGAGGGUGAGAGCCCCGUACGGUUGGUCGCUAAGCCUCUGUGAAACUCCUUCGACGAGUCGAGUAGUUUGGGAAUGCUGCUCUAAAUGGGAGGUAUACGUCUUCUAAAGCUAAAUACCGGCCAGAGACCGAUAGCGCACAAGUAGAGUGAUCGAAAGAUGAAAAGCACUUUGAAAAGAGGGUUAAAUAGUACGUGAAAUUGUUGAAAGGGAAGCGCUUAUGACCAGACUUGGACCGGUUGAUCAUCCAUCGUUCUCGGUGGUGCACUCUGCCGGUUCAGGCCAGCAUCAGUUCGUCCCGGGGGAUAAAGGCUUUGGGAAUGUGGCUCUUCGGAGUGUUAUAGCCCACUGCGUAAUACCCUGGGAUGGACUGAGGUUCGCGCUCCGCAAGGAUGCUGGCGUAAUGGUCAUCAGUGACCCGUCUUGAAACACGGACCAAGGAGUCGUCUUCGUAUGCGAGUGUUCGGGUGUCAAACCCCUACGCGUAAUGAAAGUGAACGUAGGAGAGAGCUUCGGCGCAUCUCCGACCGAUCCUGAUGUUCUCGGAUGGAUUUGAGUAAGAGCAUACGGGGCCGGACCCGAAAGAAGGUGAACUAUGCUUGUAUAGGGUGAAGCCAGAGGAAAACUCUGGUGGAGGCUCGCAGCGGUUCUGACGUGCAAAUCGAUCGUCAAAUAUGAGCAUGGGGGCGAAAGACUAAUCGAACCUUCUAGUAGCUGGUUUCCGCCGAAGU